CACGGAGAGUUUGAUCCUGGCUCAGGACGAACGCUGGCGGCGUGCUUAACACAUGCAAGUCGAACGAUGAAGCCCUUCGGGGUGGAUUAGUGGCGAACGGGUGAGUAACACGUGGGCAAUCUGCCCUUCACUCUGGGACAAGCCCUGGAAACGGGGUCUAAUACCGGAUAACACUCUGUCCCGCAUGGGACGGGGUUAAAAGCUCCGGCGGUGAAGGAUGAGCCCGCGGCCUAUCAGCUUGUUGGUGGGGUAAUGGCCUACCAAGGCGACGACGGGUAGCCGGCCUGAGAGGGCGACCGGCCACACUGGGACUGAGACACGGCCCAGACUCCUACGGGAGGCAGCAGUGGGGAAUAUUGCACAAUGGGCGAAAGCCUGAUGCAGCGACGCCGCGUGAGGGAUGACGGCCUUCGGGUUGUAAACCUCUUUCAGCAGGGAAGAAGCGAAAGUGACGGUACCUGCAGAAGAAGCGCCGGCUAACUACGUGCCAGCAGCCGCGGUAAUACGUAGGGCGCAAGCGUUGUC
This 525-nucleotide ribosomal RNA is filed under the name Streptomyces sp. EF-69. Its description in RNAcentral is "bacterial SSU rRNA". It matches the Rfam family "Bacterial small subunit ribosomal RNA", at positions 1 to 545 of the family's 1533-position model. The record is from RNAcentral. Lineage: Bacteria; Bacillati; Actinomycetota; Actinomycetes; Kitasatosporales; Streptomycetaceae.